GAUGAAGAACGUAGCGAAAUGCGAUAAGUAGUGUGAAUUGCAGAAUUCAGUGAAUCAUCGAAUCUUUGAACGCACAUUGCGCCCCUUGGUAUUCCAUGGGGCAUGCCUGUUCGAGCGUCAUUUGUACCCUCAAGCUCUGCUUGGUGUUGGGUGUUUGUCCACUCCCUGGUGUCUGGACUCGCCUUAAAGCAAUUGGCAGCCAGUGUUUUGGUAUUGAAGCGCAGCACAUUUUGCGUCUCCAGCCUAGAACGCUUGCGUCCAGUAAGCCUUUUUCCACUUUUGACCUCGGAUCAGGUAGGACUACCCGCUGAACUUAAGCAUAUCAAUAAGCGGAGGA
Molecule: unclassified non-coding RNA, 337 nt
Filed under: soil metagenome
Description: partial contains 5.8S ribosomal RNA, internal transcribed spacer 2, and large subunit ribosomal RNA
Rfam family: 5.8S ribosomal RNA (bases 1-120)
Source: RNAcentral